CCUACGGGUGGCAGCAGUGAGGAAUAUUGGUCAAUGGGCGCGAGCCUGAACCAGCCAAGUAGCGUGAAGGAUGACUGCCCUACGGGUUGUAAACUUCUUUUAUAAAGGAAUAAAGUGAGGCACUUGUGCCUUUUUGUAUGUACUUUAUGACUAAGGAUCGGCUAACUCCGUGCCAGCAGCCGCGGUAAUACGGAGGAUCCGAUCGUUCUCCGGCUUUAUUGGGUUUAAAGGGAGCGUAGAUGGGUUGUUAAGUCAGUUGUGAAAGUUUGCGGCUCAACCGUAAAAUUGCAAUUGAUACUGGCAGCCUUGAGUACAGUUGAGGUAGGCGGAAUUCGUGGUGUAGCGGUGAAAUGCUUAGAUAUCACGAAGAACUCCGAUUGCGAAGGCAGCUUACUAAACUGCCACUGACAUUGAUGCUCGAAAGUGUGGGUAUCAAACAGGAUGAGAUACCCGAGUAGUC
RNAcentral lists this ribosomal RNA (460 nucleotides) under uncultured bacterium. RNAcentral describes it as "partial 16S ribosomal RNA". It matches the Rfam family "Bacterial small subunit ribosomal RNA", at positions 338 to 795 of the family's 1533-position model. The record is from RNAcentral.